CCUACGGGAGGCAGCAGUGAGGAAUAUUGGUCAAUGGGCGGAAGCCUGAACCAGCCAAGUCGCGUGAGGGAUUAAGGCCCUGCGGGUCGUAAACCUCUUUUGCCGGGGAGCAGUGGUCCGGACGUGUCCGGGCCGGGAGAGUACCCGGAGAAAAAGCAUCGGCUAACUCCGUGCCAGCAGCCGCGGUAAUACGGAGGAUGCGAGCGUUAUCCGGAUUUAUUGGGUUUAAGGGGUUCGAAGGCGGGCAUUUAAGCCGGCGGUCAAAUGUCGGGGCGCAACCCCGGCCUGCCGUCGGAACUGGGUGCCUUGAGUGGGCGAGAAGUGUGCGGAAUGCGUGGUGUAGCGGUGAAAUGCAUAGAUAUCACGCAGAACCCCGAUUGCGAAGGCAGCAUACCGGCGCCCUACUGACGCUGAGGCACGAAAGUGCGGGUAUCGAACAGGAUUAGAUACCCGAGUAGUC
Molecule: ribosomal RNA, 460 nt
Filed under: uncultured bacterium
Lineage: Bacteria
Description: partial 16S ribosomal RNA
Rfam family: Bacterial small subunit ribosomal RNA
Source: RNAcentral